This 91-nucleotide microRNA precursor is filed under the name Cricetulus griseus (Chinese hamster). RNAcentral's name for it is "miRNA (ENSCGRG00000021773.1)". The record is from RNAcentral. Lineage: Eukaryota; Metazoa; Chordata; Mammalia; Rodentia; Cricetidae.
UUGUCAGCUUUGAAGGUUAGAUUAGAAAAGGCUGCUCAGGGCUGGAGAGAUGGCUCAGCAGGUAAAGGCUAGGCUCACAACCAAAAAUGUA